UUACCAUGAUAAAGACAUGCAUUUAACAAAUCCUUGAACCUUUCCCAACAUUGAUAAAAGGUCUCAACUUCUUUUUGGCCAAAAUUCAUCAUCUACCUUUUUAGGGCA
Molecule: small nucleolar RNA, 108 nt
Organism: Juglans microcarpa x Juglans regia
Lineage: Eukaryota; Viridiplantae; Streptophyta; Magnoliopsida; Fagales; Juglandaceae
Source: RefSeq, a predicted model, not a curated record